GCCUUGUUUUCUUGUGAUAUAUUUACACAUAAUUUUCUUCACGGGGCAUGUAAAUUCCUUGAACCCGUCUUGUGAAAAUAAUGCCUGUUGUACUGUGAUUACGCACCCCAGGAGUGCAUUGUCACCCACCUCGAAGUCACCGUGGCAAGAUAGAUAGCAUUAUUGUACCCAUUUUGCAGAUGAGGUGACUGGAGCUUGGAGACGGCAUAACACCUCCCUAAAGCCACAUGCUCACUGAACACCAGAGCUGGGACUCAAGCCACCCCCCUGAGGCCAGCGCUGGAAAUGACCAGACUUGACCCAGGCAUGAUCCUUCAUGGGCUAGAAGACUGUCCUGAGGCUCCAUUAGUGUCUGGCCUCUGAAGCACCCUCUCUCCUUCUCCAUCCAUAGUCUUUUCCCUCACGGGGCCUCUAAAGCACAGUGAAGAAGACCUGGGUGACCUGGAGCGAGUCACAAUCUGAAGGGAGGAAGAAGCUGGAGAAAUUAUGGGAGAAAAAGUAUUCAUUUUGGGUAUUCCAAGGACAAAUUUUUCAAAAAUGGAAGUGGACUUAUGAGCAACAAGGGGCAGAGAAGAAAGCUGGAAGGAUGUUUUGGCUGGUUUAUGGACAACCAGAAUGAAGACUACGCUUCCAGCCUCCCAUGGACCUGAGGCCAAGUGGAAAUGAUGGAUCAACUUAGAGGCUGGGCUACUUCCCCACUUCCCACUGGCUAAAAUUUGGAGGUGGAGAUGAGCCGUCCUAGACCACCUAGACAAGGGUAACACCCUAAGUACUUUGGCACCAAGCCUUGGUCCCUUACUCUGUAGAACACCUACCAGCCAUAAGGGUUUUGUGGAGCACAGCUGAAAGAGAAAUGCAUUUCUGUCUUGUUUAA
Ictidomys tridecemlineatus (thirteen-lined ground squirrel) is the source of this 874-nucleotide non-coding RNA. The record is from RefSeq and is a predicted model, not a curated record. NCBI's taxonomy places the organism in Eukaryota, Metazoa, Chordata, Mammalia, Rodentia, Sciuridae.